UUCAUACUUCUUCCGCCCCCAAUUGAAUGACAAUGAGUUACUUUCGACAUGAUGCAUAGGAGGUGUAGUUGAUUUGACUGAUUUUGGACUGCGCUCCUUUGGGUAUGGAUAUAUAUUGGCCAGUUCAUAAACACGUUGAAGCAGGGACUUUGGCAGUGGACGCGAGGCAUGUGACUGCUUCCGAUCGAUCCCUUUUCUGUUCUGUAUGUUAACACAGCUAGCUCUCAGAAGAUUUCGCCAUUUGUCCCUGAGGUCUAUAGGUGUGCGAUGAGGAGAAGAUGCAAAUAGGUGCUUCUUUAUAUGAGUCCAGCGGCCAGUUCCAUAUUCAGCAAUUCCAUCAACUAAUCGCAUAACUUCCGUAAGGGUCCACAUCUUCUGGUGCCUCCUAUCAUACUUUUUACAUCUUUUAGCAGAUGAAUAAACACUUUUACACUCAGUUGCAGAAGAUUCAUCUUCAGACAGAAAUCCCUGUAAUGUAGAAUGAAAGAACUUAAAAUUCCGAAACAUGGCAGAAUUAGUUCCGUGCAUUUGGGGUCUUGAGCACAGACAACUACAAUAGCGAAAAAAGAUACAGAGGAUUGGGAAGGGGGAAGAUAAGCAACUGAAUUAGCGGGGAGGAGUGGCAGAAGACCAGAAAGUAACAACUGCACAACAGAAUAAUGC
Molecule: unclassified non-coding RNA, 663 nt
Filed under: Hevea brasiliensis (rubber tree)
Lineage: Eukaryota; Viridiplantae; Streptophyta; Magnoliopsida; Malpighiales; Euphorbiaceae
Source: RNAcentral